RNAcentral lists this non-coding RNA (29 nucleotides) under Rattus norvegicus (Norway rat). Lineage: Eukaryota; Metazoa; Chordata; Mammalia; Rodentia; Muridae. The record is from RNAcentral.
UGGAAUUUUAUGUCUGGAUGGACAAGUUC